Molecule: unclassified non-coding RNA, 1697 nt
Filed under: Hevea brasiliensis (rubber tree)
Lineage: Eukaryota; Viridiplantae; Streptophyta; Magnoliopsida; Malpighiales; Euphorbiaceae
Source: RNAcentral
AAAAAACCUCUGUUUUUCUCUGCAAUUCACCAAAAAUGUCACUUCCGAAAUCCAAAAAAUCCUUCCCGUCGGUGACGACAUGCGAUACCUCCGCCGUUAACCACCACUCCGUGGCGGCGGAUCUCGACGGAACUCUGUUGAUUUCCCGUUCAUCUUUCCCUUACUUCAUGCUAGUAGCAAUCGAAGCCGGGAGCCUUUUCCGAGGACUGAUCCUCCUUCUCUCUUUCCCUCUCAUCGCGAUUGCGUACGUGUUUGUGUCCGAAGCAUUAGCUAUUCAGAUGCUGAUUUACAUUUCCUUCGCCGGACUCAAAGUCCGGGACAUUGAGCUGGCUUCGCGAGCUGUUCUCCCGAGAUUUUACGCGACGGAUGUUAGGAAGGAGAGUUUCGAGGUUUUCGAUCAGUGUAAGAGGAAAGUUGUGGUUACUGCAAAUCCGACUAUUAUGGUUGAGCCUUUUGUGAAGGAUUUUUUAGGAGGUGAUAAAGUACUUGGAACAGAAAUCGAGGUGAAUCCGAAGACGAAAAAGGCUACUGGAUUUGUGAAGAGUCCUGGGAUUUUGGUAGGGAAAUGGAAGAAAUUGUCAAUUUUGAAGGAAUUUGGAGAAGAAAUGCCUGAUAUUGGAUUGGGUGAUCGAGAAUCGGAUCAUGAUUUUAUGUCCAUUUGCAAGGAGGGCUAUAUGGUGCUCCCUAGUGAAUCAGCAAAGCCAGUACCACUUGAUCGCUUGAAAAGCAGAUUGAUCUUCCAUGACGGUCGUUUGGUGCAACGCCCAACUCCAUUCAACGCGUUAGUCACCUACAUUUGGUUGCCAUUUGGAUUUGCUCUUGGAGUUUUCCGUGUAUACUUCAACCUCCCUCUCCCUGAGCGUAUUGUUCGUUAUACAUAUGGGAUGGUAGGGAUCAACCUCGUGAUCAAAGGCCCUCGACCACCUCCACCAUCACCGGGUACCCCAGGGAACCUCUAUGUGUGUAAUCAUCGUUCAGCACUUGACCCUAUCGUCAUUGCUAUUGCACUAGGGAGGAAAGUGUCCACUGUCACAUAUAGCGUGAGCAAGCUCUCGAGAUUCUUAUCCCCAAUUCCAGCCAUUGCCUUGACACGUGAUCGUGAAGCUGAUGCUGCAAUGAUCAAGAAAUUGCUCGAGAAAGGUGAUCUCGUUGUAUGCCCCGAGGGGACUACAUGUAGGGAGCCGUUUUUGCUGAGGUUCAGUGCUCUGUUUGCAGAAUUAAGUGAUAGGAUCGUGCCAGUAGCAGUGGAUACAAAACAGAGCAUGUUCUUCGGUACAACAGUCCGCGGAGUGAAGUUUUGGGAUCCAUAUUUCUUUUUCAUGAACCCAAGGCCAACUUAUGAAUUGACAUUUCUUGAACCAUUGCCAAUGGAAAUGACAUGUAAGGCUGGGAAAACAUCAAUUGAAGUAGCCAACCAUGUGCAGAAAGUGUUGGGUGGGGUUCUUGGAUUUGAAUGCACUCAGUUGACAAGGAAGGAUAAGUAUAUGUUGCUUGGUGGAAAUGAUGGCAAAGUGGAGUCUAUGUACUCCAAGAAAGCCUGAAUUACUAUUUCAUUGGGGAAAAAAAGGCUUAAUUGCUUUGAGAGGGGAUUCUGUUAGUAAAAUUUGUGAACUCUUGUUGUUGAGAAGAGGCUAUGUUUGUUACAUGAUUAGUUACUUUGUAUUCGUAUUCAAUAGACAAUAUUAAUUGGAAUCAAA